RNA transcript from Haemorhous mexicanus (house finch), 12510 nucleotides. It is a transcript of the gene named DOT1 like histone lysine methyltransferase, with no coding region annotated. The record is from RefSeq and is a predicted model, not a curated record. Lineage: Eukaryota; Metazoa; Chordata; Aves; Passeriformes; Fringillidae. The transcript has 28 exons.
CCCGGCCCGGCCGCCGCACCCCGCCCCGGCCGGCCCCUCUAGCAUGGUGCGGGGCCGCCGCCGCCUCGUCCUCCGGCUGCCGACAUGGGCGAGAGGCUGGAGCUGCGGCUGAAGUCGCCCGUGGGAGCCGAGCCCGCCGUGUACCCCUGGCCGCUGCCCGUCUACGACAAACACCACGAUGCUGCUCAUGAAAUUAUUGAGACAAUUCGGUGGGUCUGUGAAGAAAUCCCAGAUCUCAAGCUUGCCAUGGAAAACUAUGUUUUAAUUGACUAUGAUACAAAAAGCUUUGAGAGCAUGCAGAGACUGUGUGACAAGUACAACCGAGCCAUUGACAGCAUCCACCAGUUGUGGAAGGGGACCACGCAGCCCAUGAAGCUGAACACGCGUCCCUCCAACGGGCUCCUGCGGCACAUCCUGCAGCAGGUCUACAACCACUCGGUCACCGACCCCGAGAAGCUCAACAACUACGAGCCCUUCUCGCCCGAGGUCUACGGAGAAACCUCCUUUGACCUGGUGGCCCAAAUGAUCGAUGAGAUUAAAAUGACAGAGGAUGAUUUGUUCGUUGACUUGGGCAGUGGUGUGGGGCAGGUGGUGCUUCAGGUGGCUGCAGCCACCAACUGCAAACAUCACUACGGAGUGGAGAAAGCUGAUAUUCCAGCCAAGUAUGCUGAGACGAUGGACAGAGAGUUCAGAAAAUGGAUGAAAUGGUAUGGGAAGAAACAUGCAGAAUACACACUGGAAAGAGGUGACUUCCUCUCAGAAGAAUGGAGGGAGAGGAUUGCAAACACAAGUGUUAUUUUUGUGAAUAAUUUUGCCUUCGGGCCCGAGGUGGAUCACCAGCUGAAGGAGCGCUUUGCCAACAUGAAGGAAGGUGGGAGAAUUGUGUCCUCAAAACCUUUUGCACCUCUAAAUUUUAGAAUUAACAGUCGAAACUUGAGUGAUAUUGGCACUAUCAUGAGGGUGGUGGAGCUGUCACCACUGAAGGGCUCAGUGUCCUGGACGGGGAAGCCAGUCUCCUACUACCUGCACACCAUUGACAGAACCAUACUUGAAAACUAUUUUUCUAGUCUCAAAAAUCCAAAACUCAGGGAGGAACAAGAGGCAGCUAGACGUCGUCAACAAAGAGAAAACAAAAGUAACACAACGACUCCAACGAAGGUCCAAGAGAACAAGGAUUCUGGUGCUGAAGAAGAAAAAGCUGCAGCAAAUUCUGUUAAAAAGCCAUCUCCCUCCAAGGCCAGGAAGAAGAAGCUGAGUAAGAAGGGCAGGAAAAUGGCAGGGAGGAAACGAGGGCGCCCCAAGAAAAUGAACACGGCGAGCACCGAGCGCAAGACCAAGAAGAACCAAACUGCACUAGAACUUCUGCAUGCUCAGACUGUCUCCCAGACAUCUUCAUCCUCUCCUCAGGAUGCCUACAAGUCACCUCAUAGCCCAUUUUACCAACUACCUCCUAAAGUGCAACGGCAUUCGUCCAACCAGCUCCUGGUGACACCCACCCCCCCUGCACUACAGAAGCUGCUAGACUCCUUUAAGAUCCAGUACAUGCAGUUCAUGGCAUACAUGAAAACUCCUCAGUACAAAGCAAGCCUGCAACAGUUACUGGAGCAGGAAAAGGAGAAGAAUGCUCAGCUGCUGGGGACAGCCCAGCAGUUGUUCACGCACUGCCAGGCCCAGAAGGAGGAGAUCAAGCGCCUGUUCCAGCAGAAGCUCGAUGAGCUGGGAGUUAAAGCUCUGACGUACAACGACCUGAUCCAGGCUCAGAAGGAAAUCUCUGCUCACAACCAGCAGCUGAAAGAACAGACAAAACAGCUGGAGAAGGACAACAGUGAACUCAGGAACCAGAGCUUGCAGCUGCUGAAGGCUCGCUGUGAAGAACUGAAGCUGGAUUGGUCAACGCUGUCACUGGAGAACUUGCUGAAAGAGAAGCAGGCCUUGAAGAAUCAGAUUUCUGAGAAGCAAAAGCACUGUUUGGAACUGCAGAUCAGCAUCGUGGAACUCGAGAAGAGUCAGCGGCAGCAGGAGCUGCUGCAGCUCAAGUCCUACACACCCUCAGAGGAGCCCCUGCCAGUGCAGCUGCACAGCAAAAGCCACCUGAGCCGUGACCCCGAGGCUGAGCAGGGCAGGUUCCAGCUGGAGCUGGAGUGCUCCAAGUUCCCCAUGCCCCACAUCAAUGGCAUGAGCCCCGAGCUGUCCAUGAACGGCCACGCCACCCCCUACGAGCUGCAGCACGCCUUCAGCCGGCCCUCGUCCAAGCAGAACACCCCCCAGUACCCCAGCUCCCACCUGGACCAAGACAUUGUGCCCUGCACCCCCAACCACAGCAGCAGGCAGAAGGCAGACAAGGUGACCAGCCUGGCCCUCCCUGAUUACACCAGGUUCUCCCCUGCUAAAAUCGCCCUGCGCAGACACUUGAAUCAGGACCACGGAGUCAAUGGAAAAGCCACAGCUAAUGAGAUACAGAGAGCUGAGCACGUCAAAGAGAAUGGCCUUACAUAUCCAAGCCCUGGAAUUGCAAAUGGCAUAAAGCUGAGUCCUCAGGAAACUCGGCCCUCCUCCCCCGCGGCCUUACCCAGUGCAGGAGAGAAGGUUUUGAGAGAGAGAACCUCUGUGAGUAAUGGAGAAACUAUCACCAGCCUCCCUAUCAGUAUUCCUCUGAGCACAGUGCAGCCCAAUAAACUCCCUGUUAGUAUCCCUCUGGCCAGCGUAGUCCUACCUAGCCGUGUUGAGAAGGUGAGAAGCACACCCAGCCCAGUUCACCAGAGCAGAGACUCAUCAACACUUGAAAAGCAGAUUGGUGCUAGUUCUCAUAAUGGCAUAAGCAAUGCUGCUGGAAACAAGCCUCUGGCUUUGGCUACCUCAGGUUUUUCUUACUCUUCUGGCUCCGUGGCAGUCAAUGGAAAUCUUACAAACAGCCCAGCCCAUCUUAACCAUAGUGUUGAUCAGGCAGCUCUGGACGACUCUGGGAGUCUCUUUAACUCUGUAGGGUCUCGGAGUUCCACUCCACAACAUCCUUUGCUAAUGAUGAGGAACUCUGGGCAGAACUCCCCUGCUCAGCAGCACUCGAGCCCCCGCUUAGGUGGCCCGGCCCAGAGCCUGGCAGGGGGACUGCAGAGUGCAGAGGCCCAGAAGAUCUUUGCCGAAGGAACAAAGGGGGAGCCGCAGUGUGAUGCAGCGUUUUCAGAUCCUGAGAACGAGGCCAAGAGGAGAAUCAUCUUUACAAUCUCUCCUAAUACAGGACAUGUAAAACAAUCCCCUUGCAGCAAGCACAGCCCCGUGGCCGGCAGCUGCCCGGCCCACGGGCAGGACGGGAAGAAGCGGGGCCGGCGGAAGAGAUCCAACACGGGCAGUGCCAGCGGGAACGGCGCCGUCUCCCCGAAGCGCAAAGCCCUGCCCUCGCUGGCCGGGCUCUUCACUCAGCCCUCGGGGUCACCCCUCAACAUCAACUCCAUGGUCAAUAACAUUAACCAGCCCUUAGAAAUAACAGCCAUUUCCUCUCCUGAAAACUCCCUGAAGAACUCUCCUGUUCCUUACCAGGACAAUGACCAGCCCCCAGUGCUGAAAAAAGAGAAGCCCCUCGUUCAGAGCAACGGUGUCCAUUACUCCCCCCUGACAUCGGAUGACGAGCAGGGCUCUGAGGAUGAGCACAAUAGCAGCAGAAUUGAGAGGAAAAUUGCAACAAUAUCAUUGGAAAGCAAAUCUCCACAGAAGACUGUUGAAAAUGGUGGCAGCUUAUCGGGGAGGAAACAAGCACAAAGCAACGAGAGCAUGAACAGCAGCAAAUGGAAAUCGACUUUUUCACCGAUAUCUGACAUCAACCUGACCAAAACCACCGACAGCCCCUUGCAGGCCGUGUCAGCUCUGAGCCAGAACUCCCUGUUUGCCUUCAGGCCGCCCUCCGAGGACGGGCUGCCCAUGGACACCAAGGUGCCAGGACACCCCAGGAAGAGCCUGGCAGUGCCCUCGGACGGGCUGAGCCCUGGCACAAACCCCCCCAAUGGCUUCAGCUACAACGGGGGCCUGUCCUCCGAGCUGGGCCUGCACGGCUUCAUGGACGGCGCCGCUCUUCCUCACAAAGCUGGGGACGGCUCGGCUCCCAACUGCUCCCUGGGCUUCCCCUCGCAGCGAGGCAAGGACCUGGGGGUGUCAGACACCAACCUGUUCCUGAACAAGAGGCAGCUGGAAGCUCUGGGCACCAAGGGAGAAGAGCUGAGCCGGCCGGGGGUGAAGGGCAAGGAGCUCAGCGAGCUGAGCGCCCGCGCGGGGGGGGCUGUGGAGAAAAACUCCGUGCAGCACAACGGGAAGGCCGGCAAGGGAAGGGACCGAGACGUGGAGUUCAAAAAUGGCCACAACCUUUUCAUUUCUGCUGCUGUUUCGUCCGGUGGCCUUCUGAAUGGUAAAAGCCUUUCUACUGCUGUUUCCUCAGCAGGGAACCCAGCGCCGUCUGUCCCGACGCACCAUCCCUUCCUCAACACUCUGACCACUGGAUCACAGUUCCCCCUCGGCCCCAUGGCCUUGCAAGCAAACCUCAACUCGGUGACAAAUUCCUCAGUAUUGCAGUCCUUAUUUAAUUCAAUGCCAGCUGCUGCCAGUCUGGUCCACGUGUCAUCAGCUGCAACCAGACUGACUAAUUCUCACACUAUGGGGAACUUCUCUCCUGGGGUUACAGGUGGAACAGUUGGAGGUAGGCAGAACUCUUUCUCUGGUAUAAGACAGGGCCUAAAGGAAAGUCUGACGCUGCCUCUCCAGGGGUGAAACCCUUUCAUUUCUGCAGGAUGGGAAGCAGAUCUGUCCCACAUAACCAGUCUCCUUUCUCUCUCUCUCUCUCUCUCUCUCUUGGAAUUGCUAGGAUGAUUUCAGUUCCCUACAGUGAAAUCUCAUGAGCUUUGUCUGCUAGAUGAGCUUGUUGUACCACCUUAAUGAAACAAUACACCCAGACUUUGUGAUUGAUAAUGUUUGCUUGUUCAGAUGUUGCUGUGUUGGAACCAGCUUAGGUCUGCCUGCAGGUAACAGAUUUGACUUGUCCUGGUACCAUGUUGAGGAUCUCUAACUUGUCAACUUGAGUAAAGGUUGAGUUUAGGCCUUGAAUGGAUUUAGCACGAUCCAGGAGGAGCAGAACAUCAGAGGAGCUGGUGUUGGGAGUCCUGUAGCAUUCUGGCCCUUGAAUGGACAUGAAGAGCAUUUCUUGGCCAGGAAGGGCAAUGCCACAUGCACCUUGCACUUCUGGGAUUCUGCACAGGCUUGGCUUCUGUGGCCCACACCGGGGACAAGCUGGCAGGACCAGAAGAUAGGCUGAACCUGCCAUUUCUAAGUGUCUAGGGCAGUUUUUCUUACCUGUCCAUAAUCAUUCAGGCACCAUGUCGGGAAAUCCUAACUCUCACAUCUCUCAGCACGUAGAUUUGCUGGAAUUACACCUCCCCUCUGCUGCCCUGUAAGUGGGGGAGCAGGAGGGUGGGGAGGGAAGAGCAGCACUUUGAGUCUUCAGAUAAGCAACUCUAAAGAUCACUUCUAAUCUCAUCACAACUCUGCCUGUGUGGUAUAGAAGUGACAGUUCUUGGCUCUGACCAUUUUUCCUCGUGGCCUUUAGAGGUUGGCAGUAGGAAAGGUAACUAGGAUUUCUACCUCAACCCAAUGUGACCUAUGCAAGGACAACGUGGACCAACUUCACUCGGCUUCCACUGAAAGGUGCUCACCUGGCCUGUGCAGGGGUUUCUACUCUUACUACUGGACAAAAUAAAAACCAUAAAAAAGACCUAAACAACAGAGCAAACAUUUACUGUGAAUCUGACUAAAAGAAAAAAAAAAAAAGGAAAAAGGCAAAAAAAAAAAAAGGCAAAAGAAAUGCUUAAAGCUCCAGUUUGUAUUGUUGAUAGUUUAGAUAAAAUAUUUAUCUUUUUUUUAAAGUGAAAACAAUUUUGACUUAUUUUAUUCCACCUAGAUUCAUAAAUACAAGUUAUUAUUAUUAAAUUCUCUGAAUACUAAAGGACUGGCACACCAGCAGAGAUGUAAAAGAGCCUCCUCGGUGCUAUUUUGUCCGUCAGAACUGUGCCUCUGGUUUGAAUCCUUGGUGCUGAUUUUGGGGGGUUGACCAAUGCCAAACCCAGUUUUUAAAGGUCUGCAGAUUAUUUAUUCCCCUGACUGUUCAUAUCCCAAAAUCCUCUUGGUUUGCAGCCAGGGCUGGCAGAGGAAGGAAUUCUCCCCCCGGGGUUUGGUUCGGACUGAGCCAGGCCCUUUUUAACUGGGUGGGUUUUAAUUGAGUUUGUGACUAAUGAGGGCUCUGUGCUCCCCUCUGGAGCAGCCUGGGCAGGCACAGCUGGAACAGGAGACAUCCAAGUCCUGCCCCAUCCAAACUCCUUCCCUGGGCCAUUUGCAGUUGCUGGUGGCGCUGGGGUCACUGUGAAUUUUGGUAGCUGGUCUGGUAACUCGCUUCUUGGGGCUGGCCUUGGUGUUUGAGCAGGGUGUGUGCUGGCUGGCGCUGGUGCAGCCCUUUCCCCAGUUUUGGGAAGACUGAACAUUGUGUUUCUGUCCUGCUGCAGGCUGCAGAGUUUGCUCAGCUCGUUGUUCUUUCCUUCCAAGCACGACGUGUUUCGUUGGUAGGGUUUUGAUACUUGACUCUGACCCAGCUUGGCCGUGUACAUGGAUUAACAAGGUGCAUUUUGCUUUUGUGUUCCUUUGCUUUUGAGUAGGUUCUCGAAGGGUAGUUCACAAAAACACCCUGACCUGGCUGCCUGUGCUGUCACUGUCCCCCUGGGGCAGGGACCUGCGUCGUGACUCGGUGUCGUGUGUGCAGGAAGGGCUGAUUUUAUAGAGCUGUGAUGAAAACUUCUGAGUUUCCUACACUUUAUUUCCUUUGGUUUUAGUUUGUAUAAUGCACAAUGAACCUGUAAAAACUUAUUUAUUCAAGUGCACAAGGUGAGGAGGAGAAGGAGGAUCCAUUUAAGUAGAAAUCAGGCUGGUCUGAGUUCAGGCCGGGCCAAGCACCAAUUUAAAAAACUACAGUAGAAAGGGGAUUGCAACAGCAAAAUGACUGGAAAAAAAUCACAUUCAGGCUUUGGAAAACACCUCCCCACUGCCCCUGGUGCUCAGAGGGGCAACCCUGUCCUUAAAUCCCUUCGAGUGCUCCCUGGUGAGUCUCCCACUGCAGCAGUCAGGCACUGGCAGGAGCCCCUGGGAGCCCCCCAGGGUCACAGAGCUGCUCUGGCUCUGGGGGCAGUGAGGUCCCUGGGCCCUCCUGGGCCCUCCUGGAUCCAGCAGGGUUGGGAGUGUUUGGGGAGGGGCUCAGGGGCUGCUCCCUCCCUCUGCAGGGUUCAGCUCUGUGCCUCACCCUGGGCAGCCUUGGGGAGGUUGAGGAGCAGGUGCAGUUGUGCUGUGGAUUCCUGGCUGUGUCUUCCAUGGCAGCCUCUGUGCAGCCUCUGGGCUCUGGCUUGGCCUCCUUAUCCUCUGGGAAGGGACUGAAAGCCCCUUGGGGGUAUUUUGGGAUUUCUGCUUUGUGUGGGACGGGGUGUGUCCUGCUGAGGGACUGGCAGCACAAGGAGAGCCUGGAGAAGGGCAGGAAUGCUCAGAGGGGGAGAGGAACAUCCAGUAGCUUCUCGUAGGAGCCAAACACAGUGAAUGUCCUGGAAUCCAGGAGCACAGUAACCCAGAUGUUUUGCAGCUGGGAGUUGGGCAGCUCCAGCUUCUGCCCCAGCACACAGCAGAGUUCUGGGGCCUCUGGAGACUGUAAAUGAGUGAUUGCUGAAGGGGCAGCAGCCUUAAUUAAUUUCCUAAUUACCUCUCCCCCAUCAUUUAUAUCUCUGGUGAAAGAGAGAGAGGAGGAAGUUCAAGUAGAAGCUUUUCAUCUCCCUGCUUUGAUCAGAUGCUUUCCUGCAGAGGGACCAGGAUUUGGUGCCCCUUGGAGCUCUUGUGCCUCCCUUCACCUCCAACCACAGAAAUCCAGGAAGAAAACUCAGCUGCCAUCCCUGUCCUGGCUUGGGUGGUGCCCAAGGCACUCCCAGGAUUCCUGCUGGAGAAGGAACCAACCCACAGAUCCCAUGGAACCCUCUGUGCUCUGCUCCAGGCCUGGGUCACCUGUGUCACCUGUGUCACCCUCCCUGCUGGCACCUGACACUCCCUGCAUGGUGGGAAUGAUGUGCUCUGCAUCCAGCAGCUCUGGGGAGCCAGGCUGAGCUGUCACAGGUCAGGGUGGCCUGGCCACUGUCACCUCACAGCUGGACUCACUGAUCUGAAAGAUCUUUUCCAACCUGAACAAUUCUGUGAUUCCAGGACCCUUUGGAGCAAAGGCUUUGGGGGAGGAGUUUGUCCCCUGCUCUGUGCUGGGUGCCAUGGAAAAGCAAAGCCUGUCUGUGCCUCAGUGUCACCUUUGUCACUGCCUUGGUGGCCAGCCAGUGCCCAAGGCAGGGCUGGCUCAGGAGCAGCCUCAGGAAUGGGCAGCACAGCCCCUGGAGCUCAGCACUCACCUGUGCCUGAGCCACUGCCACCCCCCAGGAGUUGUGACUCUGUGACUCUCCAGACACACCCAGGAGGGGAAGCAGACCCAGGAGUGAAUCUUUGGGGUUCCUGGGAGGGGAUCCAGUCUGCCUGAGCCUCAGCCUCCCCCUGCCUGCUGCCAUCCCAGUGCCCUCUGUUCCCACCCUGGGGGGAUCUGGAGCUGCUCCAGCCUUGCUGGUGUCCCCCCCACCCCAGGCCCUGCGCUGCAACUGCUGCUGGUUGUGAUUCCCAGGUUGUGCUUCCAGAGGGGGCCUGCUCAGCACUGAGGGAAGCCAAGGGGACACUUUGGGGCCGGUGCCUCAGCACUGGCUGAGCUGGGAGAUUUUUGCCAAGAGAUUCCUGGUUUUGUCUUCCCUCUCCCUGACCUUUUAUUGCUUUGCCAUGAGCUGGGGCAAGUUCAACUUAAAAUCUUGGACUCACAGAACAUCCUGAGUUGGAAGGGACCUGGAGACUCCUGGAGUCCAGCUCCUGGCCAGCCUCUUGCUGCUCUGUCUGCACAUUGGGAAGAGCUCUCACCUGGCUGGAGGCAGACCUUGGAUCCAUGUGGCCACAGCUGUGACCCCACUGCUGGAACACUGAGCCAGGAGCUGAAACCUGUUUGCAAUAAUUGAAGAUCCUCUGGAGCAAUCAAAGCCAAACAGUUCUAAAAAAGAGAAUUUCUGCUGCUGGUGCUGGGUCCAGUCCUUCUGGGGCUGUCACACCAUUCCCCCUCCUCCAGGCCCCUGCUGCCAGCAAAGGACUCGCCAGGAAGCAAAAACACAUCUUGGAGCAAGCCUGCUGCCAAAAAAAUGGAACUUCCUGAGUGCUGUGCUGAGGAAAACCUGUCCCUGCUGCUGAAUGUCAGCCUUGAGGAACAAGGCUUGCGUGGGCUCUUCCUUCCUUGGGCAUUUGCCACCUCUGGCUCCCCUGGGACCCACAGUGCUGGGAGGGCUCCAAAGGCACUGCACCUAAAUUUGGGAUUUGCUGCAGAUGAGUAAUUCAGCAGCAAUUCUUCUUCCAUCAGCCAGGGGUGUGGAGACACCCAGCAGCUGGAUUGCUGAGGGAGAGAGUGGGAAAGCAUUGCUGAGGAUGUGGAGGCUGGAUCUGAGCUGGUGUAGGGGAUAAAGGGGCUUGGAGGUGUCCCUCCAUCCCCUCUAGGCUUGGCACAAACGAGGCUGUUCCCUGCAGGAAGGCGUGGAUCAGUCUGGACAACCAGGGAGCAUCUUCACCUCCCUUCAGUUGUGGAUGCAGUGGGAGAGAGGAGGAGGAGGGCAGCAGCUUUUGGGGAGCAGCAGGGAGUGCAGCACCUCCUCACUGUCCUGGCAUCUCCAGUUCCUUCUGAUCACCAGGAAUUUGUGUCUCCUCCACCACACAGAUCAGAAAUUCUUGUGCUUCCAUCUCUUUACCUUCCUUGCUGUUGGGGCAGCACUUUAUCUUCCAGUUCAGGCUCUGUGCUCCCUCUGCUCCUGGCUGGGGUUGGGCUCUGGGCUCAGCCUGGCACGGGAAGUGGGAUUCCCCCUCAUUGCUGGGAUCAGGCUGAGCUUGGAGGGUCUGAGUCUGGGGUCACAGCCACAGUCCCUGAGGUCCUGCAGGCAGGAAGGUGACAUCACUUGCUCAUGAAUGGAUUUACUCAUCUCUUUUUGAAUCCAGAGAUUCCAAAUCCCCAGGACUUGACACUCCUUAGUGUGAAACUCGCCCAGCUCUGGGUCACACUCAGUUCAGCUGAGUCACUGUCUUCUUUCUUCAGUCAAAUUUAUCCUUGAGGAAGUCACUUGAGCAAUUGCAGCCUGGGAGUGAAGAGGUUUCCAGUCUGAUCAGCUCUUCCAUCCCACCUGGAAACGUGUCCAGCUUUGCUCCAGGGCUGCUUGGGGCUGUGUCCUGCCCUCACCCCUGGGGACAGGUUUCCUUCUGAGACGUGUGCUGGGGUCACUUCAGCCUUCUUUGGGGUUGGACUAAAUGACCUUUAUUGGUGCUUUCCAAUCCUCCCAAACUGUUCUGAUUCUGUUCAGACAUAUCUGGGAGGAGAUGGGUGAGAGCCAGACCUGCCUCACCUGCUGCUCCUGCACCUUCACCCAGCUCUGUGGGGUACCACAGCUCAGGUGCUCCCCAGCACAGUGAAUUUACUGCCUGGGGUCCUUGUUUCCAUCUCAGCCUGGGCUGCCCCUUCCAGGUCCUUUCCUGUGGCCGUGGGCAGGCAGCCUGGGGUUUGCUUCUUGCUGGGGUUGUGUGUUCAGGAAGCAGCAUCUGCUACCAGUGGAUAUUUUUCCACUUGGAAGAGAGUCCAGGUGACAGGGGGGGUGCCACCUGUGGCCCCAGGAUGCUCUGGCCCCCUGCCCUGCUCCAGCUGACUGGGACUCCCAGUGCUGGGAGCUGCUCUCAGGCUGCUGCUGGGGAUUCCCCUCCCUGCUCAGCCCUCCCUGGGCCCUUCCUUCCCUCCUUAGCAGGGCUGGAGCUCCCCUGAGCCCUGGGGCCACCUGCAGUGCCUGGCCCAAGGUCACUGUCCCCAGGAGCUGCUCCUGGAGCUGCCAUUCCCAGGGUCUGGGCUCUCCUGUCACUGGUGCUGAGGUGACACACUCGGUCACGUCCUGUGUGACCCCUUUGAUUUUGGUGCUGGAAUUCUCCCUCUGCUCCAGGCCCUGCAAACCUGAGGGGUCUCUGUGUGUUUUGUCCUGGAUAACUCCACCCUGGAACGAUCCCAACUCCCAGGGCUGGCUGUCAUGGAAAAUUCUGCUUUUCUUGUUUAGCCUGAGCCAAAAGCCCAGAGGGGAUUCAGGACUGGGAGCAGGGGAGGGCCCUGGGCAGGGCUGUGAACCCAAAAUGCUUUUGGGGAGCAGAAACUUCACAGUGUUUUUGUGAACUAUCUUUGCAGCACUGAGGAAAAAUCACAGGAAUUGGAGUUUUGGGAGUACAGAAGUGCAGUCAGUGUAUGAAUAUUUGAAGUCUUACUGGUUUUAAAGUUUUUUUUUUUUUUUUUUCCCUCCAUUUUCCGCUCCAUUUGCGGAUCAGGUUUUCACUAGAAGCUGUUUCAAAAUGUUGCUGUGCCAUAUUUUAUUUAUCCUUAUACAUUAUAAAUAUAUAAAUAUAUAUUUAGACUAAAUAUUGCAUUGAAAGAUGCUGUUAUUGGGAACUUCAGGGUUUGAACCCGAGACAGAAAAAUUGGGAAAUAAUUCUCCAGUGUUUUUACUGUUUGGGACCUUCUUCCUGAAGAGGAUCCUUGAGUUCUUUAUGGUGUAAAAACAAAAUCUCAUCUGAAAAUUCCAAGUUUGACAAUGCUAACCCUGAAGUUCUCAGGUUUGUGAUCCUUUGGUUUUCUCGAGGUACAUCUGGUUGCUUUUCUGGUGCAGUCAAAUAAUUUUUUAAAAGGUUUUGUCUCUGGAGUUAUUGAGGAAAAGGUGGAAUGGGUUGAUCCAUCCUGCUUGGCUUUUUUAACCUAUUAAUCUUUGAAGUGAUCAAUUUCCAAUUAAAACCCAACUUUUUAGGUCUCUGUUCUACUUAAACUUUUUAGGAGUGAGAGCCUGCCCUCGCUGAGUGGGACUUGGAUGGGGAAAGCAGUAGAUGAUGAGGUUGCUGUUGCUCAGGAAUUGAUUAGUAAACUUUUAACUACUAAUAAAAAUCCAUUUUUCAAUGGAUUUUUAGAAAAACCCAUUUUCUUAGGACAGUGGUAUGGGAUGUUUCCUAGUGAAUAGGAAUUAGUUUAUAUAGUUUAGCCUAUUAAACUGAAUUAUUUAAAAUUCAAACUUCCCCUAAUUUAUCUUUUUUUUUGUUGUUUUGUUUUGUUUUUUUGGUUGGUUUGUUUUUGGAUUUUUUUUUUAUACUGGUAAGUUGUUCUGUCAUUCCUUUCAUUCCUGCCUAGCAGUAGUGUGAAUUCUGGUGUGUAUAUAUGUAUGUAUAAUAUAUAUAUUUCCACCCAGCCUUUCUAAUUCUCCACAAUGUAAGAGUUAGGUUUUGCUCCCCUCCCUCCACUUAAUUUCUUGUGUCUCCCUUGAUUUGUAAUUGAAACGAUGCUUUGAAGUUGUCUUUAUAUUAAAGUGUCUGUAUUUUAAUACA